UACAGAGGUCUCAAGCGUUGUUCGGAUUCAUUGGGCGUAAAGGGUGCGUAGGUGGCGCUGUAAGUCAGGUGUGAAAUUUCGGAGCUCAACUUCGAAACUGCAUUUGAUACUGCGGUGCUUGAGGACUGGAGAGGAGACUGGAAUUUACGGUGUAGCAGUGAAAUGCGUAGAGAUCGUAAGGAAGACCAGUGGCGAAGGCGGGUCUCUGGACAGUUCCUGACACUGAGGCACGAAGGCCAGGGGAGCAAACAGG
RNAcentral lists this ribosomal RNA (253 nucleotides) under uncultured bacterium. Its description in RNAcentral is "partial 16S ribosomal RNA". It matches the Rfam family "Bacterial small subunit ribosomal RNA", at positions 524 to 776 of the family's 1533-position model. The record is from RNAcentral.